GAUGAAAAACAUAGUAAUUUGUGGAAAUUGAUGUGAGUUGUGAAAUUUUGUGAGCAUUGUGUUUUUGAAUGAAAAUUUCAGCAUUGAUGCAUUCGUAUCUAUGCUACAUUUGUUUCAGUAUAUAAGCAUGAACUAUAUGUCUUUACUAUUGCUAUGAUGCAAUGGUAUAAAUUUUCUAAGAUCAC
Molecule: ribosomal RNA, 185 nt
Filed under: Laelaps giganteus
Lineage: Eukaryota; Metazoa; Arthropoda; Arachnida; Mesostigmata; Laelapidae
Also listed under: 1 other name
Description: 5.8S ribosomal RNA
Rfam family: 5.8S ribosomal RNA (bases 1-123)
About the family: 5.8S ribosomal RNA (5.8S rRNA) is a component of the large subunit of the eukaryotic ribosome. It is transcribed by RNA polymerase I as part of the 45S precursor that also contains 18S and 28S rRNA.
Source: RNAcentral